AGUCGAACGCGAAAGUUCCCUUCGGGGAACAAGUAGAGUGGCGCACGGGUGAGUAACACGUAGGUAAUCUACCUUUGGAUUGGGAAUAACACCGAGAAAUCGGUGCUAAUACCGAAUAAUGCAGCGGCACCUAAUGGUGACAGUUGUUAAAGCGGGGGAUCGCAAGACCUCGCGUCUAAAGAGGAGCCUGCGGCGGAUUAGCUAGUUGGUAAGGUAACGGCUUACCAAGGCGAUGAUCCGUAGCCGGCCUGAGAGGGCGGUCGGCCACACUGACACUGACAUACGGGUCAGACUCCUACGGGAGGCAGCAGUCGGGAAUUUUGGGCAAUGGGCGAAAGCCUGACCCAGCAACGCCGCGUGAAGGAUGAAAUCCCUCGGGAUGUAAACUUCGCAAGAACGGGAAGAAUAAGUCGGUGCUAACACCAUCGGCGAUGACGGUACUGUUUGUAAGCUCCGGCUAACUCCGUGCCAGCAGCCGCGGUAAUACGGGGGGAGCAAGCGUUGUUCGGAUUUACUGGGCGUAAAGGGCGCGUAGGCGGCCACCGCAAGUCGACUGUGAAAUCUCCGGGCUUAACUCGGAAAGGUCAGCCGAUACUGCGGGGCUAGAGUGCAGAAGGGGCAACUGGAAUUCUCGGUGUAGCGGUGAAAUGCGUAGAUAUCGAGAGGAACACCUGCGGCGAAGGCGGGUUGCUGGGCUGACACUGACGCUGAUUGUGCGAAAGCUAGGGGAGCGAACGGGAUUAGAUACCCCGGUAGUCCUAGCCUUAAACGAUGAAUGCUUGGUGUCUGGGGUUUUAUAGUCCCCGGGUGCCGUCGCUAACGCUUUAAGCAUUCCGCCUGGGGAGUACGGUCGCAAGACUGAAACUCAAAGGAAUUGACGGGGACCCGCACAAGCGGUG
This 899-nucleotide ribosomal RNA is filed under the name uncultured Bacillota bacterium. RNAcentral describes it as "bacterial SSU rRNA". It matches the Rfam family "Bacterial small subunit ribosomal RNA", at positions 60 to 934 of the family's 1533-position model. The record is from RNAcentral. Lineage: Bacteria; Bacillati; Bacillota.